AACACAUGCAAGUCGAGGGGUAACAGAAGAAGCUUGCUUCUUGCUGACGACCGGCGCACGGGUGCGUAACGCGUAUGCAAUCUACCUCUAACUGGAAGAUAGCCCCGAGAAAUCGGGAUUAAUACUCCAUAAUAUGAGUCUUUCGCAUGUUAGAAUCAUUAAAGCUCAGGCGGUUAGAGAUGAGCAUGCGUCCCAUUAGUUUGUUGGUGAGGUAACGGCUCACCAAGACUACGAUGGGUAGGGGGCCUGAGAGGGUGAUCCCCCACACUGGUACUGAGACACGGACCAGACUCCUACGGGAGGCAGCAGUGAGGAAUAUUGGUCAAUGGACGCAAGUCUGAACCAGCCAUGCCGCGUGAAGGAUGAAGGCGCUACGCGUCGUAAACUUCUUUUAUUUGGGAAGAAACCCCCUUACGUGUAAGGGGCUGACGGUACCAAACGAAUAAGGACCGGCUAACUCCGUGCCAGCAGCCGCGGUAAUACGGAGGGUCCAAGCGUUAUCCGGAAUCAUUGGGUUUAAAGGGUGCGUAGGCGGGAAAUUAAGUCAGUGGUGAAAGCCCACAGCUCAACUGUGGAACUGCCAUUGAUACUGAUUUUCUUGAAUUUAGUCGAAGUGGGCGGAAUGUGUCAUGUAGCGGUGAAAUGCAUAGAUAUGACACAGAACACCGAUUGCGAAGGCAGCUCACUAGCCUAAUAUUGACGCUGAGGCACGAAAGCGUGGGUAGCGAACAGGAUUAGAUACCCUGGUAGUCCACGCCGUAAACGAUGAUCACUCGACAUUGGCGAUAAACUGUCAGUGUCCAAGCGAAAGUAUUAAGUGAUCCACCUGGGGAGUACGAUCGCAAGGUUGAAACUCAAAGGAAUUGACGGGGGCCCGCACAAGCGG
RNAcentral lists this ribosomal RNA (886 nucleotides) under uncultured bacterium. RNAcentral describes it as "bacterial SSU rRNA". It matches the Rfam family "Bacterial small subunit ribosomal RNA", at positions 50 to 932 of the family's 1533-position model. The record is from RNAcentral.